Molecule: long non-coding RNA, 623 nt
Organism: Cucumis melo (muskmelon)
Lineage: Eukaryota; Viridiplantae; Streptophyta; Magnoliopsida; Cucurbitales; Cucurbitaceae
Exons: 2
Source: RefSeq, a predicted model, not a curated record
CCUGCUCCUGCAAUAGAUGUUACAUAAAUUAAAAAGAAAAGAAAUGACAAAUGGGUAUGGAUUGGCUAAAGAGGAAGACAUUUUAGGGGAAAGGUUACUUCAUGAUGCUGAUGCUGACUUAGAGUUUUGGCUAAUUAUAGUAUUUCUGUUGCAGAAAAAGUAAAGAAAUUCCUUAGGUAAGAUGUCUUCAAAGUUCAUAUAGUCAAUUGAGGACUGAAGCACACUCCCUGGCGACGAUCGUCGAAAUGACCAAACAAAACAAACUCUACUUCUCUCAAGCGCUUGUGCAAUCUCCUCCACCUGAUCCUUCUCGAAAGCUCCCCUGCUUCCAAAGCACAAGAACACAACAGAUGAAAGUGGUUGAUCAUCAAGCCACUUCAACACAUCUACAUGAUCCAUAGUCUCAGUGUUCUUGUUCAAGUGCAAAAUAGGUCCAACAGGAUACAAAGGUGGGAGUUGCAAAGAGGAGUUAGUUGACAAGGAACAUAUCACAUGUGAUUCCAACUCCUCAAGUGUAUUCAUAAGAAUACCUUUUACAUCAGAUCUAGUUCUUUUAACUUGUUCAUGGAACCAAACAGCAUUAUUGUUAAUAAAGAGGAUACUAGGAAUGACUUUACUUGGAA